UCCUCUUCCUCCUCUUACUACGCCUAUCUUCUCCAUCUUCUUCUCUCCACCGCACCGAAACUGAAAAGAAAAAAAAACGCAGAAGAAAUCUCUUAAAUCAUUGCUCUUAAUCCGAACCCCUUUUUCCAUCGUCUUCAUCUCUCCACAAAAUCACUGAGUUCUCCAAUAAACCCUAUUCUAAACUUGUAACCACAAACUUAAGCAAAGAGGAAGAAAUCCAUUCUUCUUGAACCAUUUCCUUCUUGUAAUCUUUGCGGUUAAGAUUAUCAGUUAGUCAAGCUUUUGGGAUUUCAAAUAAGUUUUAGGAAAUUUACUUUUGAUGAAUUGGAGAUGGAAGAUCAGGACAUCAUAUAUCAUCUAUGUAUAUAAUUUCUGGAUCUGUUUAUAUGCUUGGAAGAAGCUUAACUGAUUGUUGUGGGGAGCUUUAGCUUACCGAUACAGUCGAAAAAAAAAUUAUAAUCUUCUGUUGUACAACAACGUCAGUAUUGAUGUGGGGAGCUUUCUAUAUCAGGAUUGUAUUCACCACAUAUUUGAUCUCAGUACAAAUUUAUGGAUGGCAGUUUCUAUGAGAUUUCUUCAUAGAGCCAUCAGUGGUAUAUUUGAUCAAGUUCAGGCUUAUGCCACCGAAGUUUACCGAAAAGAAUGUCAAACAUGGGCACUAUUCUCAGCGCCAAACAGGAGCUGCAAGGGGGAUUUCAUCAACUGCAAUGUCUCUGUUCAAAGUAUUUGGUCCAGCUGAUGGUUGGUGCCAUGUCUUGUAGCUGAUGCAAUUGAUUACUACUUUCAAGACAAGCAGAUAUGUCCAGUUGGAAUCCUGCACUGUGCUCAGGGCUAUGUUAUACUUGACAUAGUAGGGGUUUGCAGCAAGGAAAGCGUAAUUAUGAAGGUUGUGACAGAUCAUCAAGAUUUGGUGGUCCAAUAGGUCGAGCACCAAGAGAGUUUGGAGGAGAUGAGGGUGGUGCUCCAGCAGAGUGUCAACCACAAUUUAAGGUUUAAACCUAGUCCGUUGGUUAUCAAUGAACUACUUAUGGAUUUAUUUUCUCUAAAUACAAGAUGAAUUGUUCAUGUAUAAUCUUGUUUAUCCAUGAUAUGUAAUGCCUAAUUUUGUGCAUUUAUUAUGCAAUAGCCUCUCAAUGAAUAAUGAACAACCUACUGUGGGCACGCACAGAUGCAUCCCAAAGAGUGAAAUAAAGUUCUCCAUUUGAGGCAGUGGGUACCACAAAUUCCUUAUUUUGGUACUAUUUUUACCAUAAGCUAUUUUCGAGUGCAUGUAUUACAGACAGAUUCAUCUGUAAUUUCUUAAGAUGAAUAUUUUCUACUACAUAGUAUGUCAAAAAGUUGCUGCUUAUGACUGCAAAAUUGUUGAAGGUGUGUUCAGCCAUCAGCUCAAGCAGUUUGUAAUAGAUGGAAACAAGGUUGUACUCGAUGUUCCUGAAACCAUAGUUGAUGAUGCAGAAUUUUAGGAGAAUGAAGUUUAUGCAAUUGAUAUGGUUUCCAGCAUAGGGGAAGGGAGUAAAUCAUUUUGCUGGUUAAAUGCACUUGUCUUGCAAAUUACUGUUAGGUAGGACUUCGAGUUAUAUUGGUAUGAAUUCAUGAUUUAUAUCAUUUUUUGUGUAAUUUGAACCUAAUUAAUCAAUGAACAAUAAAUGGAAAAUUAUUUGAA
Long non-coding RNA from Papaver somniferum (opium poppy), 1663 nucleotides. RefSeq lists it as uncharacterized. The record is from RefSeq and is a predicted model, not a curated record. Lineage: Eukaryota; Viridiplantae; Streptophyta; Magnoliopsida; Ranunculales; Papaveraceae. The transcript is spliced from 9 exons.